This is a long non-coding RNA of Aricia agestis (brown argus), 73 nucleotides long. RefSeq lists it as uncharacterized. The record is from RefSeq and is a predicted model, not a curated record. The transcript is spliced from 3 exons. NCBI's taxonomy places the organism in Eukaryota, Metazoa, Arthropoda, Insecta, Lepidoptera, Lycaenidae.
AAAAUAUGCAUUAAGCUAUAAAUGCACUUAUGUUCUUUACAUCAUUUAAAACAAGACUGUAUUCAAAACUAAA